GCACACUUGGAGAAGGGCUAUCAGAUUGGACUUGUUUUGAUUAAACAAAUGCCGGUAAUUGAGUCAGUUCAACAUAUUUUGUAGUCACCUUAUAAUUCUUAGAAGCAUUUCCUAAUCAUUGUAUGUUGUAGGAUUUUUAUGCCAAGCUAAACAUGCCAAUACUAGAAGAAAUCGCCUCCAUUUUGCGAGAAGCAAAUACAUGUGCACAAUCAAGUGAGCAGGUUAGUCAGUCAUCACAUGCUGAAAAUGGUGGUUAUGCCAAUGGAAAUGGCAUUGCAGACAAUGGUUCUCCAUGCAGGAGCCAUGACAAUGACGCUUCUGGUAGUGGCAAUCGUGACAAUGAAGAUGACCCUAGUCUGGAAUGAAAUGGGGAUGGGUACAACAUACAUCUUUUGUCAAGGCUAACCUUUUGUGUAAUAGUUAGCAACAUGAAGUUAGCAAGAGAGUGAAAUGGCCUCUCCAUUGGCUAACAGUACAUCUGCUGAACUUUUGGGAAGGGUACAGCGUACAUCUUUUGUGAAGGCUAACCUUUUGUGUAAUAGUUAGCAACAUGAAGUUAGCAGGAGAGUGAAAUGGCCUCUCCAUUGGCUAGCAGUACAUCUGCUGAACUUCCUGCUUUUGUGUAGUUGACAUCAUGUGUACUCGACUCGUGACUGUGAUUGUAACUUGCUCCUUGGGUACAAGUGUUGGAGCUGGACAUGCUGGAUAUGCAUGCAUGUUGCUGUGUAAAGUCCUUGCUAAACAAGGUGGACACUUGGAUGACUUAAUUUAGAUGUGAUCUGCUAGUGCCAAUUGAAAUGUGGCGACUUAUAUGUGAUUCAUGUGUGCUGUGACAUGUUGGCUGUAUAAAUGUUGGGGUGUGAACAUCUGAAUUAAAUUGGUAGUGUAUUUUAUAAACAAA
Panicum virgatum (switchgrass) is the source of this 901-nucleotide long non-coding RNA. RefSeq lists it as uncharacterized. The transcript is spliced from 2 exons. The record is from RefSeq and is a predicted model, not a curated record. Lineage: Eukaryota; Viridiplantae; Streptophyta; Magnoliopsida; Poales; Poaceae.